GACAGUUCGGUCCCUAUCUGCAAUGGGCGUUGGAGAUUUGAGAGGGGCUGCUCCUAGUACGAGAGGACCGGAGUGGACGAACCUCUGGUGUUCCGGUUGUCACGCCAGUGGCAUUGCCGGGUAGCUAUGUUCGGAAGCGAUAACCGCUGAAAGCAUCUAAGCGGGAAGCGCGCCUCAAGAUGAGAUCUCCCGGGGCACAAGCCCCCUGAAGGAACCAUGUAGACUACGUGGUUGAUAGGUCAGGUGUGUAAGUACAGCAAUGUAUUGAGCUAACUGAUACUAAUGAUCCGUGCGGCUUGACCAUAUAACCUCA
This 313-nucleotide ribosomal RNA is filed under the name Salmonella sp. 3DZ2-4SM. RNAcentral describes it as "partial 23S ribosomal RNA". It matches the Rfam family "Bacterial large subunit ribosomal RNA", at positions 2625 to 2925 of the family's 2925-position model. The record is from RNAcentral. Lineage: Bacteria; Pseudomonadati; Pseudomonadota; Gammaproteobacteria; Enterobacterales; Enterobacteriaceae.